RNAcentral lists this long non-coding RNA (569 nucleotides) under Xyrichtys novacula (pearly razorfish). The record is from RNAcentral. Lineage: Eukaryota; Metazoa; Chordata; Actinopteri; Labriformes; Labridae.
GGAUCAAGGAUGCUGUUGACAGUUGAGGAAUUCAUGCUGUCUUUUCUAAGACACAGAUCAAGGUUGCUUUUGAAUGCACUAUCAGUUGUUAAAGCCACCGUUUCUUUUUCAGAUGAUUACAUUUUUGUCUCUUGCUCUUUGGUUUCAGACAUUACAUGAUGAUCUACUGUCUGGAAAGAUCCGCUCCAACAGAAUGUUCCUUUGGAGGAAUCCCGCCACCUCACUCCGACUAAAGCAGCAUCUUAAGAUAAGGACACUAAGUUGGAGUGAGCAGCGCGUAAGUAAAAAUGCCAUCCAUCAUGAGUAUUUUUACUCUCAGGGGUGUUACAUUUGAAAGGUGUUUACUUUCUGUGUUUUUCUUCAAUAGAUGUUCGAGCUCCUGCGGUUCAUUGAGGUGGCAACAAACAUUUCUAAAAAAAUAAAGAGAGGCGAGAUUCAUCUGCUUGAUUUCGUUUUUGACGUCAUGCUCCCAGAGGUGAGUAGAUCAAACUAUAUAGCUUGCUUUGAAAAUUGAUGAUAUUGUUAAGAGGUUGUUCUUAUUCAUUUGGAAAGCUCAAGAACAACAAUUA